UACGAAGGGGGCUAGCGUUGUUCGGAAUUACUGGGCGUAAAGCGCACGUAGGCGGUUUUCCAAGUUGGAGGUGAAAUCCCUGGGCUUAACCCAGGAACUGCCCCCAAAACUGGAUGACUCGAGUCCGAGAGAGGUGAGUGGAAUUUCCAGUGUAGAGGUGAAAUUCGUAGAUAUUGGAAAGAACACCAGAGGCGAAGGCGGCUCACUGGACUCUAACUGACGCUGAGGCGCGAAAGCAUGGGGAGCAAACAGG
Molecule: ribosomal RNA, 253 nt
Filed under: uncultured bacterium
Lineage: Bacteria
Description: partial 16S ribosomal RNA
Rfam family: Bacterial small subunit ribosomal RNA
Source: RNAcentral